This 671-nucleotide ribosomal RNA is filed under the name uncultured Gemmatimonadota bacterium. RNAcentral describes it as "SSU rRNA". It matches the Rfam family "Bacterial small subunit ribosomal RNA", at positions 245 to 915 of the family's 1533-position model. Lineage: Bacteria; Pseudomonadati; Gemmatimonadota. The record is from RNAcentral.
CUAGUUGGCGGGGUAAUGGCCCACCAAGGCGACGACGGGUAGCUGGUCUGAGAGGAUGGCCAGCCACAUUGGGACUGAGAGACGGCCCAGACUCCUACGGGAGGCAGCAGUGGGGAAUCUUGCGCAAUGGUCUAACGACUGACGCAGCGACGCCGCGUGUGGGAGGACGCCUUUCGGGGUGUAAACCACUGUUGCCCGGGACGAACAGCCCUUUUCGAGGGGUCUGACGGUACCGGGUGAGGAAGCACCGGCUAACUCCGUGCCAGCAGCCGCGGUAAUACGGAGGGUGCGAGCGUUGUCCGGAAUCAUUGGGCGUAAAGGGCGCGUAGGUGGCCCAGUAAGCGUGCGGUGAAAGCUCGGGGCUCAACCCCGAGUCGGCCGUGCGAACUACUGGGCUGGAGCACUGUAGAGGCAGGCGGAAUUCCGGGUGUAGCGGUGGAAUGCGUAGAGAUCCGGAAGAACACCGGUGGCGAAGGCGGCCUGCUGGGCAGUUGCUGACACUGAGGCGCGACAGCGUGGGGAGCAAACAGGAUUAGAUACCCUGGUAGUCCACGCCGUAAACGAUGGGCACUAGGCGCUUGGGGGAGCGACCCCCCGAGGGCCGGCGCUAACGCAUUAAGUGCCCCGCCUGGGGAGUACGGCCGCAAGGCUGAAACUCAAAGGAAUUGACG